UGGCAGGAUCAACCAGGUAGCAUUCCUCUUCGACGUCACCGACAGCGUGUGGGCUAGCCAACUCACUGUCGACGGUCGUAUUUGAGAAGCGAGAACGCUUGAUAUGGGCAAAAGAGAGGCAAUGAAGCCCCCAUACCCGCAUAAGCUUCUGCAUCCAAGAUACCAGUCAAUGCUUAGUGAGCCAUGUCAUCGACGCAUUAACGUCAAAAAGAUGGAUCACAAAGAUUGCUUUGGUGUUCACCAUGCGUCGCGGAGCGAAUCAUGAUGAAAAUUACAUCGAUAAGGCAACCGAAUUCCGUCAUGUAGGUAUGCAACACAGGGAACCCAAAUGAAGCACAAAGUUAAACCAACCUUGUCGCGCGACUGAAGUGACAUGCACGAGUGGACGUUGCUGCUCAAGCAGACAUCCAACCACCCGUAACAUGUCGAACACCACUCACACACCUUUACGGAAUGGCAUUCCGUGGGAAAAACCCCCUAGCCCGCCACCCGCUCAUCUCAAAGGAAAAGCAAGCAACGAGGAAGAAGGAAUAUCCCCAGAAUGC
RNAcentral lists this unclassified non-coding RNA (545 nucleotides) under Schlechtendalia luzulifolia. Its description in RNAcentral is "partial external transcribed spacer". The record is from RNAcentral. Lineage: Eukaryota; Viridiplantae; Streptophyta; Magnoliopsida; Asterales; Asteraceae.